Apis dorsata (giant honeybee) is the source of this 1630-nucleotide long non-coding RNA. RefSeq lists it as uncharacterized. NCBI's taxonomy places the organism in Eukaryota, Metazoa, Arthropoda, Insecta, Hymenoptera, Apidae. The record is from RefSeq and is a predicted model, not a curated record. The transcript has 2 exons.
CUUAUUAAAAUGAUUCGUUGCAAAUGGAAAUUCGCGCAAAAGUUCACGCAAUGUCAAGAUUAAUAGCAGGUGAGGUCCCACACAAUCAUUGUGGCCGCAUUCAUUAAAUUGUAAUUAUGAAGUCGAAGAUCUGUUUAUAGCUUCGUGAUUCAUCACUUUGGCCGAUAGCGUUCUGCUGGGCAGGAAGUGUAAUGAGUAAUAGUCUCCAUCAAGAGAAGGUCUAUCGGCGAAACUACUGAUCAUACGCCCAUUUGCCCACCCAUACGAUUCCCAACCAUUGUUUAAUUCGCUAUAUUCAAUUACUAGAUGUUUCGUACGCUCCAACAUUAUUUCCCCUACUCAUUCGAUUAAGUUGAACGAAAUAUCACAAUAGAGGCCUUCAAUACUGCGUCCGCGAGAUAAAGGAUCGCUCGACUACAAAGAAAUAAAUUCUAACCGUCCACAGUUUAGAACACAAGGCAAUGUUAUGUUCGCGAUGGCAUAUGAACACGUCGACGAGUUGGUAGAAAGCUUCAUUGCCAGUUCUGUCACGAUUCAAUCGUAUACGAAUAUAAGUAUAUGCGGUGAAGGCUGUUUACUGUCAUGCUAUAUCUUUUAUAGUAUUGAUAAAAAGAUUUGACAGAGAAAGUAAUAUAUAUAUAUAAAAUGAUAACAUAUUUACGAUUGUCGUGUCGGAAAAUAAUAUUCGCAAUACACGUAAACACGUUAUAUAGUAAAAUUAUUCACGAUGGAUAGCUGUUUUUAGAAUCAAACUUUGACAUGAAAAGACAGUUAUUCUAACCUAUAUGCGCGCGCGAGUAUUAUGUUAUGUAGGCACAUGUAGACGCGCGUGUAGUGACACCGUUUGUCGAUCGAAGAAUUUUCAGCCACAAAGAGAGAGAAAGAGAGAGAGCGACCGGAGGAUAAGGUCGCUGUUAAUGUUUCUACGUUUGAAUUCCAUCGACUCAUAUUCACGGUCAAAUGUUUCAGUAUAAAGGCAGAUUGUCGAACCGUGACGGAGCCCGCAUCGUACUCGGAAGGUCGACUUAACGUAAAAAGGUGUACUAACCUUGACGUCUUUCCUUCGCCAUGCAAGCAACUUGACCAAGAACUUUCAAACUAAUAACGAGUCCCGGCAUCAUACGCAUCAUGUCGAAAGAACACACGACAGCUAUGUAAAUACACCGAGAAUGUAUAAAUCUGUUAAAUCAGUUGACUAUAGUUAUGGCAGGGAUGGGUCGUUGACCAGUGCGCACUCUAUGGCUGAUACCGGCAUCUGUGGCAGAAUACUUCAAAACAAAGGGACACCGGUAUUUCAAAAAAGAAGAACACUUUCUUUUACGAAGUGUGUCAUUAAAUCCUUUUCAGAAUAUGAUUAUGACGUAGUAUUGGAUCAAUAAAGACACUUAAUAACAUCGGGAACGAAAGAGGAAAAACAAACACGUUUGAGCAAAGACCCACCCUAAACGCAAUGACGAGGAGGUUCGACGAUUCAGUGGAAAAUACGUACCGCGCCAGCGCCAUCCUGACAUGAGAUAAUCCAGGUCCCGUAGGUGUUGCGAGCAAGGUAUCCAGAUCUGGAAAGAAUGCUUUAUCGCCGACACUAAAUCCCACUGGACACAUGCGCGUAAAUUCCUCGUCCUCGAACACA